This 925-nucleotide ribosomal RNA is filed under the name Plasmodium inui. RNAcentral describes it as "SSU rRNA". It matches the Rfam family "Eukaryotic small subunit ribosomal RNA", at positions 174 to 1051 of the family's 1831-position model. The record is from RNAcentral. Lineage: Eukaryota; Apicomplexa; Aconoidasida; Haemosporida; Plasmodiidae.
UUCUUGAGUGUGUACUUGUUAAGCCUUUUAAGAAAAAAGUUAUUAACUUAAGGAAUUAUAACAAAGAAGCAACACGUAAAUGGAUUUUCCAUUUUUUAGUGUGUAUCAAUCGAGUUUCUGACCUAUCAGCUUUUGAUGUUAGGGUAUUGGCCUAACAUGGCUAUGACGGGUAACGGGGAAUUAGAGUUCGAUUCCGGAGAGGGAGCCUGAGGAAUAGCUACCACAUCUAAGGAAGGCAGCAGGCGCGUAAAUUACCCAAUUCUAAAGAAGAGAGGUAGUGACAAGAAAUAACAAUACAAGGCCAAUCUGGCUUUGUAAUUGGAAUGAUGGGAAUUUAAAACCUUCCCAAAACUCAAUUGGAGGGCAAGUCUGGUGCCAGCAGCCGCGGUAAUUCCAGCUCCAAUAGCGUAUAUUAAAAUUGUUGCAGUUAAAACGCUCGUAGUUGAAUUUCAAAGAAUCGAUAUUUUAAGUAACGCUUUGUAGAUUAAUCCACAUAACUGAUACUACGUAUCGACUUUGUGCGCAUUUUUCUACUUAUGUGUUCUUUUAAUUAAAAUGAUUCUUUUUAAGAUCUUUCUUUUUUGCUUCGGCAUUUUAGGAGAUCUUGUUACUUUGAGUAAAUUAGAGUGUUCAAAGCAAACAGAUUAUAGCAUCUUUAUGCGUUUGAAUACUACAGCAUGGAAUAACAAAAUUGAACAAGUCAGAAUUUUGUUCUUUUUUCUUAUUUUGGCUUAGUUACGAUUAAUAGGGGUAGCUUGGGGGCAUUUGUAUUCAGAUGUCAGAGGUGAAAUUCUUAGAUUUUCUGGAGACAAACAACUGCGAAAGCAUUUGCCUAAAAUACUUCCAUUAAUCAAGAACGAAAGUUAAGGGAGUGAAGACGAUCAGAUACCGUCGUAAUCUUAACCAUAAACUAUGCCGACUAGGC